Molecule: ribosomal RNA, 408 nt
Filed under: uncultured bacterium
Lineage: Bacteria
Description: partial 16S ribosomal RNA
Rfam family: Bacterial small subunit ribosomal RNA
Source: RNAcentral
GACGAACGCUGGCGGCGUGCUUAACACAAGCAAGUCGAACGAAGUGGCGAACGGGUGAGUAACGCGUAAUCAACCUGCCCUUCAGAGGGGGACAACAGUUGGAAACGACUGCUAAUACCGCAUACUGAAGGAGGGGUUUGCGUCGGAUUAGCUUGUUGGGGGGGUAACGGCCCACCAAGGCGAUGAUCAGUAGCCGGUCCGGGCGGAUGAACGGCCACAUUGGGACUGAGACCCGGCCCAGACUCCUACGGGACGCAGCAGUGGGGAAUCUGCCGAAAUGGACGAAAGUCUUACGGAGCGCCGCCGCGUGCGGGAUGACGGCCUUCAGGUUGUAAAGCUCUGUUGAUCGGGACGCGGUACCGGAAUAGAAAGCCACGGCUAACUACUUGCCAGCAGCCGCGGUAAUUC